UCAUUUCAAUAGGAGCAAAAUGCUAUCCUUCCAAUAAAAAAUUUUAGAAUACAACUAGUAUAUUGAUGACGUGGCGUAACAAAUCAAUCAAAUAUCUCAUUUUAGAUAUAUAUAUCACAUCAUUGAUGAUUGUAAAAAAAAUAUUUUUAUUAUAUUUUUUUUUGAAAAGAAGGAAUGUGAUUGACUUAUUAUUAAUCACAUGGUGUAAAUAUGAUAGUGUAGAUUUUUUUCUUUCCAUGGGUUAAUAUAUGUUGCAUGUA
This 260-nucleotide long non-coding RNA is filed under the name Ananas comosus (pineapple). RNAcentral describes it as "long non-coding RNA (ACOM_LNC014210)". Lineage: Eukaryota; Viridiplantae; Streptophyta; Magnoliopsida; Poales; Bromeliaceae. The record is from RNAcentral.